GGAGGAAAAGAAACUAACAAGGAUUCCCCUAGUAGCGGCGAGCGAAGCGGGAAGAGCUCAAAUUUAUAAUCUGGCACCUUCGGUGUCCGAGUUGUAAUCUCUAGAAAUGUUUUCCGCGUUGGACCGCACACAAGUCUGUUGGAAUACAGCGGCAUAGUGGUGAGACCCCCGUAUAUGGUGCGGACGCCCAGCGCUUUGUGAUACAUUUUCGAAGAGUCGAGUUGUUUGGGAAUGCAGCUCAAAUUGGGUGGUAAAUUCCAUCUAAAGCUAAAUAUUGGCGAGAGACCGAUAGCGAACAAGUACCGUGAGGGAAAGAUGAAAAGCACUUUGGAAAGAGAGUUAACAGUACGUGAAAUUGUUGGAAGGGAAACGCUUGAAGUCAGACUUGCUUGCCGAGCAAUCGGUUUGCAGGCCAGCAUCAGUUUUCCGGGAUGGAUAAUGGUAGAGAGAAGGUAGCAGUUUCGGCUGUGUUAUAGCUCUCUGCUGGAUACAUCUUGGGGGACUGAGGAACGCAGUGUGCCUUUGGCGGGGGUUUCGACCUCUUCACA
This 548-nucleotide ribosomal RNA is filed under the name Rhodotorula mucilaginosa. RNAcentral describes it as "LSU rRNA". It matches the Rfam family "Eukaryotic large subunit ribosomal RNA", at positions 52 to 615 of the family's 3401-position model. Lineage: Eukaryota; Fungi; Basidiomycota; Microbotryomycetes; Sporidiobolales; Sporidiobolaceae. The record is from RNAcentral.